Molecule: ribosomal RNA, 169 nt
Filed under: uncultured Clostridium sp.
Lineage: Bacteria; Bacillati; Bacillota; Clostridia; Eubacteriales; Clostridiaceae
Description: partial 16S ribosomal RNA
Rfam family: Bacterial small subunit ribosomal RNA
Source: RNAcentral
CUACGGGAGGCAGCAGUGGGGAAUAUUGCACAAUGGGGGAAACCCUGAUGCAGCGACGCCGCGUGAGUGAAGAAGUAUUUCGGCAUGUAAAGCUCUAUCAGCAGGGAAGAAAAUGACGGUACCUGACUAAGAAGCCCCGGCUAACUACGUGCCAGCAGCCGCGGUAAUA